GUUCCACAUCCCAUCUGAAGAUGCGCUUUUGAGUGUAUAAUCCCUGACUUUUAGCAAGUUACAUGGCGGUCCAAAAUAAAGGCUACAUUUCCCAGACUCCUUUGCUGCUGGUUGUGGUCAAGUGACUAAGUCCUGGUCAGUGGGAUGUGAAGAUAAAUGCCACACAGCAGCUUCUGGGACCCUUCCCUAAGAAGCAGCUAGUGUGAUCGUUUGCCCCCUUCAACUCCUCUUCUCCUGUCUAGUUGAUGGAACACAGAUGUUAUGACUGGCUCCAUGUUGGGCCACAAGGACACAGGCGCCACACAUCCUGAGGAUGGCACAGCAGAAGGCUGGAAGCAGCCUGGGUCCUGAAUGACUUGGAGUCAUUGUCCCAGUUCUGCAGCUUACAUCUGGACUUUUCUGUUUGAGAUAAACGUCCAUACUGGGCUGCAUGCUGCACGAGCCCAGGGGCACCGCUCACACGGCAGAGGACCUGAGGGAAGACCUUGGAGUUGUGAGGCGAACAGACUGCAUGGUCAUCCUCAGAGGCCCUGCUUCUGUCUGGUUUAAGCCCCUGGUUUUGGAGUUUCCGUUACUUUCAGGCAAUCUUAAUUUUAACUAAUAUAAUAGAUUUCUGAUAGUUUCUUCAAUAUCCAGGAGGUUUUUGUGCCUGGAGGGGAAUACUCAAUAGUAUUGGUACUUGGCUUAUUGUAUAAUUUAUGAAAGUAAUAUAACUCAGAAAAAUCAAUUUUCCUUGCACAUUUAAACAUUAUUAUUAAUUUGGUUAAUUACUGUCACUUAAAACUUCAAUGGCAGUUACAAAUCUAGUAUGACUGAUUCUUCGAACCCUGCAGACAUCUUAAAUAACAGGCCAAACAUACACAAAUCAAAUAUUUCAGACUGAUCGAGAUUGCAGGAUCCAAGUAAUGUAAUGACUGCUUCCUCACUGAGAUGCACAAACCAAGCAGAUUUAAACUGAAAUCUUUGAUCAUUAGGCUGAGCCUCUUUUUAAAUAAAAAUAGCUAUCCAUUUGUGGCAUCAGAGACUGUUAAGUUUCUCUUCGUCAUAGAGAUCUUAAUUUUUGCAACUUGGUGUCUUUCCAAGAAUUUCUGCAUUUUCUAAGUUUGCAUGGCAAGUCAGAGUCAUUUGGAUUUCACAUGGAUUUUAGGAUGGUUUUUCCUAUUUCUGCAAAAAGUGAGGUUGAGUUGUUGAUAGGGAUCGCACUGAAACUGUGGGCACUUCGAGUAAUGUGGACAUUUCAACAAUGUUAAGUUUUCCCAUCCAUGAUCGUGAGAGGUCUCUCCAUAUUCGUGCCUUUAAUUUCUCUCGGCAAUGUUUUGUAGUUUUCCACGAAUAGGUCUUUCGCCUCUUUGGUUAAGUUUACUACUAAAUAUUUUAUUCUUUUUUAUUUUAUUAUAAAUGGGGCUGUUUUCUUAAUUUCCUCAUUGGAAUGUUCAUUGUUAGUGUCUAGAAACGCAACUGAUUUUUGUAUGUUGAUUUGGCUUGAUAAUUUUUAUUGCUAUUUCAAGUGUGUUUCCCCUUUUCCAUUUUCCGAUGAUUAUUGUCAAUAUAGAAAGAAAAGUUUUCAUGUCUUCAUUUUGUGUUCGGCCC
Equus asinus (donkey) is the source of this 1590-nucleotide long non-coding RNA. The record is from Ensembl. NCBI's taxonomy places the organism in Eukaryota, Metazoa, Chordata, Mammalia, Perissodactyla, Equidae.